ACAUCAGCAACGGGCAGACCAGGAAGAAAACAACACCGUGGACGUUCCUUCUGAGAUGGCAAACCAGAAAGGGAGAGAAGGCAAACCACAGCAAGCGCUGGAUCAUUCCCCGACGAGGAAGCCGAACGCAACAAGUCUGCAUUAGCAGAGGCUGUUUAAAUUCAUUAGCACGACAAUUUACACUUGGGUGGCACCAGCUGCAUCAGUACUUCAAGCUCCUUCCCUUGGUUAUUCACCAGGCCUCAGUUCCCCUGCAGAACAGCCCCCAGCUCGCCGACACAAAUGGGGCGACGCGUGCCGGGCUUUGGGGCGCUCUCAGCCCGCACGCCUGCCCGCCAGGCUCCCGCCUUCGUAUUUGCAGCCCCUGCACAUAAGGAGCGGGCAGGCUGUAGGACAAACCUUGGGCUCCCCGAGGGAACCCACAUCAGAGUGCCCAGACCCAGAUGACAGAGCCCACAGAGCCUGCGGCAGCCCAAACCCAUCCCAGCGGAGCGGCUCUGCCAUCGCCUGGCCCCGCCGUGCUCCCGCGUCCUCACCCCACGGAGCCUGCGAGCCCUGCCAGGCAGACGGCGAGCAGAGAUAACUCCCAGAUAACGGGGAGCAGAGAUAACUCCGGGCGUGCUCUCGCCACGCGUCAUGCACACGUAUUUCCGACACGAUGACGAAGGCUGAAGCACGUCCGAACGUUUCUUCUCGUCUCCUUCCCGAGCCGUACAAACGGCAUUGCUCUCCCGGUGCUGUCCCUUCGUGUCCCGUCUCAGGGAUGAAUUUCUGCACCCCAAACCUGCUGCUCCCCGCUCCCUGCCUCCAGCACAACAGGUUUGCUACCCGGCUCAUUCACCCCAACAAGUCCUCGCCCCCAGCUUUCAGGUUUUUGUGAGACCUCCGGGGUGGCCCCUCCAGGAGCACCCAGCCCCAGGAGACGGAUGCGGCAGGCUGAAAACCAGAGGGUGGCAUUUGAAAAGCGCUCAAGCGUUUUAGCACCCAAGUCUGGCUGUCAGACUGCAGCUGUCAGCCUCUAAAAACGUUCCCUCGCCAAUUUGGAAACCGUCCCCACUCCUCCGAGCGCAGGAUCCGACCCGCCGUGCCCACAGCUGCCCCCAGCCUCCGCCAGGCUCGCUCUGCCCACAACCCCACGUGCGUUGGUCAUGUUUUGCUCGUCUUUUUCCAGCUCCUAUCACCAACCCGCAGGCCCCGGGGACUUCCUUAAUCUCGUUCCUCUCCAGACACCAGCAGCGACAGGGACGGCCAGCCGGAGCUGGCCAAAGGCAACCAACCGCCCCCGCAGCGCCGCCGCUGAACGCAGGAGCUUGACCCGCUGCGUGCCUCGUGCCCUGCAAACGGUGCUGAGACGUGUCACCAAAUCCCAGGGCUUUGGGCUCCCUCUCUGCCAGGACAGCUGGCUCUGCAGGGACACGCUCCCCAGGUGGCUUUAGGGCGCUCUGACAAGGACAGGGGCGAUGAGGGGCCAUUUUCCUGCAGGCACCGGGACGGUGCUGGCUGCUGCCAGACAGGCCGUGAGAGACGGAGACACCCCGCACAGCCCCGGCCCAGGCACACAAACAGAGCAAGGGCUGCGAAGGGGGCAGAGAAGGCAGAGCAAUGACUCAGUGAUUACUACGGGCUCCGAGCAGAGCCCGCUCCACCGGGCGCUGAAUUAGCGUCUCGCACGCACCAGCGAGCAAAAGCAGGGCAGGAGAGCUCGGCCACAUAGUGCUGCCUCGCAGGUACCCUCUGCAGCAGUCCCUUGUGCAGACGUGUAGGAAAUAACGUCCCCGAUACCUGCUUGAGCUGCUAGGUGCAGCGGUGAGGCUGCUCCGUGAAGGACCGUGGGGACCUGGGAGCUCUCCGAUGCAGGAGAGCCACUCGGUGCAGCUGAUCCUACAAAUAACACGGCCGUCCUCCAUCAGACCUGGCCCCAGGAUGGAAAUGUGACUGCUGUGCUUUUCUGUUUUAAAAGGCAGGACCUGAGACGGGCUUUGGGGACGCAGCUAACCCCGCAGGUGGGCAGGAGCGGGUGCCGUGGCUGGUGGUUUGCAGCAAAACUCCGACCACCAGGCCCCAGGCCGGGCCUGGACGAGCCAGCGAGGGGACUGCUCACCACAAGCGGCUGUUUACAGCCCUGACUCACUCCUUCCCUUUCCCCCGAAACGGAAAAGUAUUUACAGCUGAACCCGAACGCUCCUCAUUGUCUCCUGGAGCCGUUGGAGCUGAAAGGUCGUUCCCCUCUGCUGCUGGGCUCAGGUCCUGUCCAGCCGGUCCUGUGCUGGGGACGGCACCCAGCCCUUCCCCACCCGCUCCUCCAGCGCCCUGCAAAGGAAACCCUCCCGGUGCCCUUACAAAGCCCUUGCAAACAGCCUCGAGGAGGCUGAAAAUACUGCUCGAGCACGAAGGGAAGCAGGCAGCAGGCAGCAGCAGCCGUGCCCUUCCGCGCUGGGAUGAGGCAACGCAGAAGCAGCCCACGCCUGCAAGACACGCGUCGGUCACAAGCGACAUGUCCCGUCCCAAAAAGCGAGGUGCAGGAGUGAAAUGAGGGGAUGAAAUGCCUUGAAGGGGUGUCCCCAGGCUCCCUUUAUGUCUCCCCUGAAGUCCCAAAGGCUGUCUGUGAAUUACCCAGAGCAAUAAGGAGAAACUGAGCAACAGGACGAGGGUCUGGCUGCAUCUCCUGGCGCAAGGAAGAGCUCUGUACGUGCUUCCGAGCCCCUGGACUGCCUACGCUGUGUGGUCACCCUGUGUUACCCCAGGUGGGGACACCCAGAGGCCAUGUGCGGGGCUGAGACAUGGCAGUGGCUCUGCAGGGCGCUCCUCCACCGUGCGCGGCUCCACCACCGGCCCACCCAGGGGCAUCCUGAGCUGCAGGAAGGGGAGGUCGGGAGGCACCGAGCCCUCACGGGCAACAAAGGCCAGGUCCCAGCCCAGGCUGCCUGAAUUCCUGAAUUCCCCCGCGUUGAGGAAAGCCCCUCGCUUGUCCCCCGCACCGCUGCCUGCUCCCGGAGCAUUGAGCCGAGUGCGCUACCAGCGCCUGCGGGGGAAACAAGGCUUGUUUUGCUGCUCCUGCAGAGCUUCUUCUGAUGCAGGACAGGAUGGAUGGGGCGAGUAUGUAGAUGUGGAGCGGCGAGACAUCCGUGCAGGUCACAAGCCGAGGGAGCCUGAAUAUUCAGCUCUACCAGCAACGUGGGAACGGCACGCCGAGCCAGCCCCGCCGUCCCCCUCACUCUGACGCAGUUUCAAAACCCUGGGGAAGAGGACGAGGAAGAGGACGAUGCCCCGUUACGGCUCUGCUGCCAAAGCCCCUGCUACUUCGGUAGCCGAAGGUAUGGUUUUGGCAUCAGCAGCAUCCCUGCAGAGCACCUGCCAUCCUUGAGGGACCCUUGCCAGAGUUGCAAGGCAGCUCCUAAAAUACUCCCCAUCACCGCACAGCCCUGCGCAAUACUUUUAAUGUGAACAAACCAAGCUCAGCUGACGACCAGAAAUAACUUUCCACGCAACGCAAACAAACCCUAACUUCAGGGAAGGCUCCCAGAACAGCUUCUGGCUGCCCAAGGGGACAUCCCCGUGCCCCACGGGCCCUCUGCUGCUCAUGGGGGGCUUCGGGCAGCGAGCAGAGGUUCCCAAAUUGUGCCCUGAGUUCGGCCGAGAGCAGGGCCCCGGCUGGACAGGGGCCAGCCGUGUUAGCCCCUCCUUUCUCCUCCGGCUUCCGCACAGAUACUCCUGAUUUCAUCACUCUUUACUCCCCGAGACAGACAGCAGAGAACGCGGUGCAGUAGCCCCGAACAGCUAGCAGAGGUCGCUUAACAUAUGCUAGGUGAGGCAUGGGAAAAAAGAUUUCAGGGCCGCGUUUCCUGCGGCGAGGCUCCGUUCAGCUACGCGCGCUUUGAAGCAUUUUGCUCCACGGGGGAAGCCCGGAAGGGAUGAAGCCCGCGUGUCCUGCCUCGCCGCGCCGGUCUGCUCGCCCGGGAAGCCUCUGGGUCGGAAACGUUUUCACUCGUUUGCCUACGCGUGAAUAAAACAUGCAGAAGGGAUUAGGAAAA
Molecule: long non-coding RNA, 4031 nt
Organism: Cygnus atratus (black swan)
Lineage: Eukaryota; Metazoa; Chordata; Aves; Anseriformes; Anatidae
Exons: 2
Source: RefSeq, a predicted model, not a curated record